GACGAACGCUGGCGGCGUGCUUAACACAUGCAAGUCGAACGGAAAGGCCCUGCUUUUGUGGGGUGCUCGAGUGGCGAACGGGUGAGUAACACGUGAGUAACCUGCCCUUGACUUUGGGAUAACUUCAGGAAACUGGGGCUAAUACCGGUUAGGAGCUCCUGCUGCAUGGUGGGGGUUGGAAAGUUUCGGCGGUUGGGGAUGGACUCGCGGCUUAUCAGCUUGUUGGUGGGGUAGUGGCUUACCAAGGCUUUGGCGGGUAGCCGGCCUGAGAGGGUGACCGGCCACAUUGGGACUGGGAUACGGCCCAGACUCCUACGGGAGGCAGCAGUGGGGAAUAUUGCACAAUGGGCGGAAGCCUGAUGCAGCAACGCCGCGUGCGGGAUGACGGCCUUCGGGUUGUAAACCGCUUUCGCCUGUGACGAAGCGUGAGUGACGGUAAUGGGUAAAGAAGCACCGGCUAACUACGU
This 467-nucleotide ribosomal RNA is filed under the name uncultured bacterium. RNAcentral describes it as "partial 16S ribosomal RNA". It matches the Rfam family "Bacterial small subunit ribosomal RNA", at positions 28 to 506 of the family's 1533-position model. The record is from RNAcentral.